Passer domesticus (house sparrow) is the source of this 2503-nucleotide long non-coding RNA. RefSeq lists it as uncharacterized. The record is from RefSeq and is a predicted model, not a curated record. Lineage: Eukaryota; Metazoa; Chordata; Aves; Passeriformes; Passeridae. The transcript has 3 exons.
CACCUGCUCACAAUAAAGCACUGCUAAACAAGAAAGGAGGCUUGCAGGGUUUGUGGAGGGGAGAUUUGUGGCUGGGGUAAGGCUGCAGCUGACUGAAAAUCUACUAGAAACAGAAGUACAGUACAGUAAUCUGCCUUAUCAUGAGGAGAAAGACCUGGCCCUUUGGUGGAAUGAGGAAAGGAGGCCUUCAGAAAGGGUGGCUGGGCCAUUGAAAUUAUGAAGAAAAUAAAAAGUCAUCACUAGUUGAAGACAAAGACAAGAAAAGCCUCUUUCUUUCAAGGUUUAUCUGAAGAACUCCAUCUAUCCUUAUCAGAAGAUUAAAAGGAUAAAUGAGGCAGUUGUCAUAUUCUGCAUAUAGAUAUAUAGAUCUGUAGGCAUUUCUAUGAAUACACAUGUAUAUGUCUAUUUUUAUUAUUUUCCUGAAAAUGUCCCAAAUAUUUAUAAAUAUUUUAUAUUUAAUUAUUACAUCAUUCAGUGAAAAAACAAAUCUGUCAGAAAUCUCAUUUCUGUUUCUUCAUUGUCCUCUUUUGAGGUUCUUAUGAUCAGGAUGGAAAGGAAAAGACUGUCAUUGUAAAUAUAAAUUAUAAGUAGCUCACAAUUAAUUCAAACUUUACCCUGUGUCAGAGUGUAGGGAGAUUUUUAAAUAGAUUUUCUUAUUUUUGGAGAUUAUAAUCCAUGAAAAAAAUGCUACCUAAUUUUUGUGUAGCCUGAUUUUUCAUUCCAGCAUUGGAUUUCACAAAUAAUUUCUCAGCUUGCUCCAGUCAUGACAGAAAAUCUUAAUCUGUUGUUGAGUUUUGUGGAACUGGAGUGUGUGGGUUCUAUCCCACAGUCUCUGAGCAUGAGUCCAACUUAAGUAUUAAAUAAAUCUGUUUUCUGAAUGUUAUGCAUUGCAAUGCUUAAUAGUAAGUAAAUGUUUUUUAAAGACUCCCCUACAUUAUGUUAAAUGAACAAGACCCUACACAAAGUUUCACGUUUAAGAGUUAUAUUCAGGUGUUUCAAUGUAAAUUUCUUCUACAGAGACCUUAAUGUCAGACGAAAUUUUAUUUCUCACUCUGAGAGAAAUGUAGAUGCACUUUGAAUUGGUUUUGGGUAAAAACAGUCAGUGCUUUGUUAAUACUGGUGCUGGAUUAAUUCUGUUGUCUAUGUAUGUGUCUCACCUACUGAAGUCCUCAAGGGCUUUCUGCAUUUAUUUUUAAAUACCCAGCAUUUAUAAAACAUACAAAAUACAAUACAAAAGAAGUAUUAAUAUGAAUAUAAACAAGAUUUGUAGUUAAAUUCUAGAGAUAAUAUGCCAUCAGGGAUUUGGAGGAGCACUCUAGCAUAUGGUAAUUACAUUAAGUGAACCUCAAAGAACUGGCAAGUUUAAAAGGACCAGGAAGAGAAUUUCAAAGUUCAACACUUACAAGUGAGGUUGAGUUUUGAAUAUCUCAGCUUCUGUUCCAGCAUUCAGUCAGUUUUCUAUAACAGCUAAAGGAAAAGCUAAUUAGUGAAAAGCCAUUAGAUUUUGCAAACAUCCCUGAUAGAGAAAUUUCUCUAUUACAUGCCCAUUUCUCUUACGAUCCUAAAAAGGGCUACUCUGAUCUGGGCAUUUAUUUACUUAUUUAUUUCCAUCAGAGUAUGUAAGAGGGGCAGUAGAAAACAGAUGCCAUUGAAUAGCUACUCAUUUCUUUGUACUUACUUGGGACAGAACAAGUUACAUGAAGUACUGAGGGAAAAGGUGGAAAGCCUUAGCCAAAGCAUAAGUUAGAAAGUGAUGUGUGUGACAGAUAGGAAAAGGCAAGAUUAUAGAAAACAACAAAACCCUAGAGAGCAGGCAAGGUUACAAAAAAGCUGAAAGCCCUUGAACUGGCCACUGUUAUAUAUUCCCACGUUGUGGAUCUAACAGUACUUUGAAGCUUUUCCUUUUCUCUCCUCUCUUCUCCUUUUGUUUUCUUCCCCAAAUAUCAUAUUUAGCAUCUCACUUUCUUGACCCUUUUUUUCUUUCUGUUAUAUAUUUUUUCCAUUUUUUCAGGCUCAAAUCUUAUAAUCACUAUACUAAUACAGCUGCCCAAGUUUUACAAUGCUUAAAAUAAUUGAGCAGAGAAUAUUAUUUUCAUUUCAUCUGCUCUUCAUUUCUACAAGGGAACAAUUCAAGUAUUUUGUUCCAUUCCCUUCAAAAUGCUAAACUAGCUCUUACUCAAAUUAAAUGUCUUCAGAGAUAUAUAGCAGCUAUAUGUUAGAAAAUUUGCACUUUUAUUUUGUAUGCAUUUAAAUAUAUUUUUUAUAAAAGAUGCAAUAAUCUAAAUUAAUGACCACCCUGAUAAGUAUGAUGGCCAUACCUUGUCUCUAAAUUACAAAAUCCUGUUUCAUUGAUAAAUGAAACCUCCUUUCUUUCAGGUUCAAACUUUCACUGUAAAUAUUGAUAGUUUUUAUGUAACUAUUUUGUUUAGAAUUUUUUCUUGUUUGUGCAAAAGUGGAAGUGCUCUAAAUAGAGAAAGAAAACUCCAUAAAAUUCCUUAAUGAA